This is a long non-coding RNA of Olea europaea var. sylvestris, 1041 nucleotides long. RefSeq lists it as uncharacterized. The transcript is spliced from 5 exons. The record is from RefSeq and is a predicted model, not a curated record. Lineage: Eukaryota; Viridiplantae; Streptophyta; Magnoliopsida; Lamiales; Oleaceae.
UUGGUUCCCAUAUAUCAUCCUUUUAUGCAAGUUUUUAAAAAUAUUUUCACCCUUCUAUUUAUGCUAUAUGGAAAAAUGCAUUCGGCAAAUCUUAAGACUGUUCAGCAUAUGUCCAAUUUUUCUGUUGAAGUUUUAUGAAUUAACAGGUGAAGUUAGCCCUCUAAUCUUCAAGGGAUACAGCAAACUCGACAACAAGGGGGAUCUCUACUUUUCUUGCCAUUAUUGCGGCAGCUGGUUCUCAAUAUCUCUUGCUUGCGUCAAAUCUAUUUGCCGAAUCUGAUGAUGAGUUGAUCGUUAAGAGAACAUGAACUUUAUCAGACUCCAUACCGGGGCUAUGUUAUGUUCCAACGACACAGUCUGAAGUUACUUUAUUUCCAUUAGAUACUUUCAAACAGACCUGGCAAUGAUUAUUUGACUUGGUCUUGCACCAUGGACUCUCUAUGUACUCGAUUUUCAAUCUCUUUUGAGCGGUAAAGCACAGAUUUACAUACUGAUGGUUCUCUUUUCGGAGAGCACUACUUCCUUCGUUAAUCUAAGAUGGUAUCUUGACAUUGCUGGUCAGAAGUCGUCUAGACUGUACAUCUUCAAUGGUGUGGCUUUAUGCUUGGGGUGGAUGGUAUGGUGAUUCUAUUCUAAUCAGAAUUCUUCUUGUUUCCAGCUGCAAAAUGUAGAGUUCGUAUAUGUGCAUGUCAACAUACAACAGAAUUGCAAGUUCAGUUAACAGCAUGUGAACAUAUGUUUUCGCGUUAGGUUACUUUUCUAAUCACAUUACGUAUAAAUUAGGCACAUUAGCCGAAGGUUAUGAACUUUCCCAACCAGAGUCUUGUGGUUUUGAAAACCUUGUAUGCUGCUCCUUUAUGGUUUGCGAAUGAGUCGGAAGUAAUUUGAACAGUUUUUAGAAACGAGUGGGGGUGAUUAUGUUGUUCUGAACCUGAGAGGGCAUAAUUUGCAAUUUGCCCUUAGAAUAUCAGCAGCCACUUAACCCUCUAUAUCUUAUCCAAAUGGCAAAAGGGUGGAUUUUUGUCUUCUCCCCAAAAGAGA